RNAcentral lists this long non-coding RNA (2235 nucleotides) under Sus scrofa (pig). Its description in RNAcentral is "lncRNA (ENSSSCG00030038080.1)". The record is from RNAcentral. Lineage: Eukaryota; Metazoa; Chordata; Mammalia; Artiodactyla; Suidae.
GGUCUUCAAGUUGUCUCGACGUGCAGAUGAGCUGAUGGCGAGCUGGCCUCCCUCUCUGUCUGCCAAGACCGUCGUCUCGUGGGGGAGGGCUCCUCCGGUGACACACCACGUCUCAGCCGAACCCCCGGGAGUUGCUUCAGGAGCCAGCAUCUCUUUUGCUGUUGCUGCCACCGUCCGGCCCAGAUUCCCCGGAUCCAGCCUCAUCAAGCAAAAGGCAGGAGGGAGGCCAGGAGGAGGCCGUGCAAGAAUUUGCUCCAAAGGAGCUGCUUCAGUUACUUCAAAGGAACGAACGUCUCGCUCCUUUGAGUCUUUGCUGCAGAAGUUCUGAAAAAUCCCCUCAGGGACAAACCUUCCUGGAACCCACGCUCCCGCCCUGGGAAGGGCCUGCACGCCUGUGCGAAGGAGCCUGAUUUCAGCCCUCAUCGAGGCGCAGAUUCACUCAAAAGGCAGCGCCCUCAGCGCAGGGGGCGGUGAAUUGGGUCCUGGAUCACAGCCUGGAAGGCAGCGCUCGUCCUGGACGGCCGGGGUCCGGGCUUUCUGGGGGCUGGGGCAUCCCCGGGACGGUCAGGGUGUGUGACCUUCUCUGGGCAAAGCCUCAGAGAAAGUGACCCCCACGGGUGCCCCGGGGGCGUCUGCGGUUUAAUCUCUCAGAAGCCGGCUGGUGUCCCGCAGCUCCGAAGGAUGGGAAAUGCGAGUCCCGGUUCCGACAGACUUGUUCCAGGAACCGGGGCAUCGGUGAGGGGAGGCGUCAGGAGGAGCGAGGUGGGUGUCAGCCCGGAGCUCGGCCACCCGCGUCCGCUCCUGGGGCAGCUGCUUCAACAGACGAGCACGGACGUCGGAAGGGAGGUGCGCAGGGUUUUGAAGGGCAGGAGUCCAGGACCCAGACGUGGACAGGGCCUCAGGCCCCCGCAGGCUCCUCAGAGCCCUCUGUGCGACGGAAGCCCCCUCCCUGUGGACGCCAGGCCUGCCUGGGCCGGCCAGCCUCGCCCCCGAGUUUCCACUUCGCGGCCAGCAUCACCCCCACUUCGCGGCCUUCUUGACACUUGGCUGGCGAAUCCUUUCAGGUACGUAGCGUGGCUGUUUAAACGGCUCAUCUGCUACCUUCAAAAUGUAAAGUUUUCUAUACGUCUAGGUCCAUUAUCCUGAUUAUCGGUCGCGUUGUCCAGUUCUUGCUUGUCUGUUCAGGGGAUCGUGCCUGAGACGUGCAGAGACGACUCGUCCCAUCUUGGCCUGGAACGUGCCGCGUUUGCUCCAGGAGGCGUUGCAGUCACUGCCGGGUCCUCAGCGCUGUGUGGACCUGUCUUCUCGGGCCCGGCCGCCAGCCAGAGCUGUGGCCGGUCCAGUUUUUCAGGAGCCGCCUGCAGGGUUUGCUGAGCCAGGUCGAGGAACGCAGACGCCCAGCAACUCCGCCGCGGUGCCGCUUCCUGCUCAGAUCAUAAGCUGCUCAGGACUCAGGGACCCCGCACUGAUCUGUGAUCCCUCGCCUGCUCCUCCCUGGGAUGGUUCUCAUUUCCAGCUGCUGCGGCAGCUCUGACCUUUAACCUCUGGCUGGAGCCCAAGGCCACAGCCUCUUCCCGCGCCAGCACCUGUGCUGCUUUGUGCGGGGACAGCGACCUCGGGAAGGGCUGGUCGCCGUGAGCUGGCUGGUCAAUGACCUUCCUCCUGGGAGGGCCUGUGCCCGCUCCUGGUUAUUCUCUGACAAGCUUGCCACUACGAUUAAGAACCUUGGGCCAACAUGAGCCUCUUUCCCUUGGCUGGGAUCAGAACCCACCUGCUUAGCUGCGACAGUCUGGGUGUUUGGUCUACACCCCAGACCACCUGCGUUAGACUUUCUGGGUGUGGAACACAGCGUGGGUAUCCCUGGAAGUGCCUGGCGACUUCUGUGUAACCGAAGUUGCUGGAAGCAUUUAUGAAGCAUCGUAUGUCUCAGCGCUUUUCAUUAACGAUUUUUCAAUCCUCUGGUAGCCUCAUUAUUUUCAUACGGGAACUAAGGGUUAGGAUGUUCCAGAGCUGGGCCUUGACACCGCCAGGGUGACCUCAGACCCUAGGGUUAACGGCUGGCUUCACGGUGCAGCGUGGGGAGGGCGGGGGGACCGGGGGUUUGAGGUCGGAACGGCUGGCGCUCUGUUGUGUGGCCGUAGUUCACUUGGGCAUUUCCCCUGUGGGAGGGUACUUACCAUGCUGUCGAUAUUCUGACUGUUAUAAACCAUUUUGCACAGGAUAUUUUGUACCUCA